Molecule: small RNA, 1780 nt
Filed under: Pan troglodytes (chimpanzee)
Lineage: Eukaryota; Metazoa; Chordata; Mammalia; Primates; Hominidae
Description: processed transcript
Source: RNAcentral
CAAAGAUUCAGAGAAGCCAGAACGUGGCUCUGCUCCCAGUUAACCUGCUGGAGCUCAUCAGGCUUGCUCAGAGCCCCUGCACCAACUCACCCUGUACCCUCUCUCCUUCUUCGUUAGUCUUCUUUCCCCCUUUUCCCUCCUCUGUUUGUGCCUACCCCCCCCCCCCCCUUUUGCAUCUGACCAAAGGACGAAUGAGGGAGACGUUCCUGCAGAUCGGGGCAGCAACUUUCCUCAGCUGGUCUCUGGGCUCCGGGAGCCAGAGAGCGCUGAUCCUCCGCGGUCUGCGGCCCAUGGAAGAGGAGGAGGAGGAGCCGUGAUGGGCUAGCGACAGCACUGAGGAGCCUCGAGCGAGCUCAGCCUUGCCAGCCAGCUCCGCGGUCCCACGCGGGUUCCCUCGAGCUCGCUCCGUGGGGAGCGCGCAGCGUGCUUGGAACCGGAGCAUCCAGAGAGGAUGAGGCGGGGACCCGGCCCAAGUUGGGUGCAUCUCUCGGGCGUCCGGCAGCGGCUGUAUCUCGGCAUGAAUUAAGAAGCUAGGAAGAUGGAGCACGGCACACUCCUCGCCCAGCCCGGGCUCUGGACCAGGGACACCAGCUGGGCACUCCUCUAUUUCCUCUGCUAUAUCCUCCCUCAGACCGCCCCGCAAGUACUCAGGAUCGGAGGGAUUUUUGAAACAGUGGAAAAUGAGCCUGUUAAUGUUGAAGAAUUAGCUUUCAAGUUUGCAGUCACCAGCAUUAACAGAAACCGAACCCUGAUGCCUAACACCACAUUAACCUAUGACAUCCAGAGAAUUAACCUUUUUGAUAGUUUUGAAGCCUCGCGGAGAGCAUGUGACCAGCUGGCUCUUGGUGUGGCUGCUCUCUUUGGCCCUUCCCAUAGCUCCUCCGUCAGUGCUGUGCAGUCUAUUUGCAAUGCUCUCGAAGUUCCACACAUACAGACCCGCUGGAAACACCCCUCGGUGGACAACAAAGAUUUGUUUUACAUCAACCUUUACCCAGAUUAUGCAGCUAUCAGCAGGGCGAUCCUGGAUCUGGUCCUCUAUUACAACUGGAAAACAGUGACCGUGGUGUAUGAAGACAGCACAGGUCUAAUUCGUCUACAAGAGCUCAUCAAAGCUCCCUCCAGAUAUAAUAUUAAAAUCAAAAUCCGCCAGCUGCCCUCUGGGAAUAAAGAUGCCAAGCCUUUACUCAAGGAGAUGAAGAAAGGCAAGGAGUUCUACGUGAUAUUUGAUUGUUCACAUGAAACAGCCGCUGAAAUCCUUAAGCAGAUUCUGUUCAUGGGCAUGAUGACCGAGUACUAUCACUACUUUUUCACAACCCUGGACUUAUUUGCUUUGGAUCUGGAACUCUAUAGGUACAGCGGCGUAAACAUGACUGGGUUUCGGCUGCUUAACAUUGACAACCCUCACGUGUCAUCCAUCAUCGAGAAGUGGUCCAUGGAGAGACUGCAGGCCCCACCCAGGCCCGAGACCGGCCUUUUGGAUGGCAUGAUGACAACUGAAGCGGCUCUGAUGUACGAUGCUGUGUACAUGGUGGCCAUUGCCUCGCACCGGGCAUCCCAGCUGACCGUCAGCUCCCUGCAGUGCCAUAGACAUAAGCCAUGGCGCCUCGGACCCAGAUUUAUGAACCUGAUCAAAGAGGCCCGGUGGGAUGGCUUGACUGGGCAUAUCACCUUUAAUAAAACCAAUGGCUUGAGGAAGGAUUUUGAUCUGGACAUUAUUAGUCUCAAAGAGGAAGGAACUGAAAAGGUAACCUCCUUAAUGAUAAAUAAAUAAAAUAACAAA